Non-coding RNA from Mesocricetus auratus (golden hamster), 71 nucleotides. The record is from Rfam. NCBI's taxonomy places the organism in Eukaryota, Metazoa, Chordata, Mammalia, Rodentia, Cricetidae.
GGAGAGAUGGCUCAGUGGUUAAGAGCACUGGCUGCUCUUCCAGAGGUCCUGAGUUCAAUUCCCAGCCACCA